RNAcentral lists this ribosomal RNA (492 nucleotides) under Brachymeria sp. JC118. RNAcentral describes it as "partial 16S ribosomal RNA". Lineage: Eukaryota; Metazoa; Arthropoda; Insecta; Hymenoptera; Chalcididae. The record is from RNAcentral.
GGUUUUUUGAUUAUAAUUUAAAAUCUGAUCUGCUCUAUGAAAUAUUUUAAAUGGCUGCAGUAAUUUGACUGUACUAAGGUAGCAUAAUAAUUUGGCUUUUUAUUGAAGUCUGGAAUGAAUGAUUUGAUGAAGUAAUAACUGUCUCAUAAUAAUUAAAAAUUGAAUUUAAUUUUAAGUAAAAAUUCUUAAAUUUAAUUAAAAGACGAGAAGACCCUAUAGAAUUUUAUAUAAACACAUAUUUAUAUAAAUAUGUGUUUAUAUUUUUUUGGGGUAGAAAUAAAAUUUAAAGAAUUUUUAUAAUUUUAAAUCAUAAAUUUAUGAAAUUUUUAUCCAUUAUUAAUGAAAUUAAAUUAAAUUACCUUAGGGAUAACAGCGUAAUUUUUUUGGAGAGAUCAUAUUGAUAAAGAAAAUUGCGACCUCGAUGUUGAAUUAAGAGAAAUAAUUUAUGUAGAAAUAAAUUUAUUAAGUCUGUUCGACUUUUAAAAUCUUACA